GCAUUGAUGGUUCAGUGGUAGAAUUCUCACCUUCCACGAGGGAGACCCAGAUUUGAUUCCUUGUUAAUGCA
Molecule: transfer RNA, 71 nt
Filed under: Loxodonta africana (African savanna elephant)
Lineage: Eukaryota; Metazoa; Chordata; Mammalia; Proboscidea; Elephantidae
Rfam family: tRNA
About the family: Transfer RNA (tRNA) molecules are approximately 80 nucleotides in length. Their secondary structure includes four short double-helical elements and three loops (D, anti-codon, and T loops).
Source: Rfam by way of RNAcentral